Molecule: long non-coding RNA, 191 nt
Organism: Thalassophryne amazonica
Lineage: Eukaryota; Metazoa; Chordata; Actinopteri; Batrachoidiformes; Batrachoididae
Exons: 3
Source: RefSeq, a predicted model, not a curated record
UUUGCACAGGGGUCAAAACAAACCAAACAUUCCACACAGUCAAAACUAUUACAUUUAUUAAUCCUAUUAUCUCAACCAUUAAUUUGCAUAACUUUUAGCAAAAUUAGAGCUUGGAACUUUUGACCCCUGUACAAAAUGGAAAUUGACCUUUGUCACCAUUCUUGCGGUUUUUACCCCAUAACUCCAGAACC